GACGAACGCUGGCGGCGUGCUUAACACAUGCAAGUCGAACGGAAAGGCCCUGCGUUUGUGGGGUGCUCGAGUGGCGAACGGGUGAGUAACACGUGAGUAACCUGCCCUUGACUGUGGGAGAACUUCAGGGAACAGGGGCUAAUACCGGAGAGGAUCUCCUGCUGCAUGGGGGGGGUUGGAGAGAUUCGGCGGUUGUGGAUGGACUCGCGGCUUAUCAGCUGGUUUGUGGGGUAGGGGUUUACCAAGGCUUUGACGGGUAGCCCGCCUGAGAGCGUGAACGGCCACAUUGGGCCUGCGAUACGGCGCAGACUCCUACGGGAGGCAGCAGUGGGGAAUAUUGCACAAUGGGCCGACGCCUGAUGCAGCAACGCCGCGUGCGGGAUGACGGCCUUCGGGUUGUAAACCGCUUUCGCCUGUGACGAAGCGUGAGUGACGGUAAUGGGUAAAGAAGCACCGGCUAACUACGUG
RNAcentral lists this ribosomal RNA (468 nucleotides) under uncultured bacterium. RNAcentral's name for it is "partial 16S ribosomal RNA". It matches the Rfam family "Bacterial small subunit ribosomal RNA", at positions 28 to 507 of the family's 1533-position model. The record is from RNAcentral.